AAUCAACGCUGGCGGCGUGCCUCAGACAUGCAAGUCGAACGCGAAAGUCCCCUUCGGGGGGCAAGUAGAGUGGCGCACGGGUGAGUAACACGUAGGUAAUCUACCUUUGGAUGGGGAAUAACGAACCGGAAACGGUUGCUAAUACCGCAUAAUGCAGCGGCACCUAAUGGUGACAGUUGUUAAAGCGGGGGAUCGAAAGACCUCGCGUCUGAAGAGGAGCCUGCGGCGGAUUAGCUAGNGGUAAGGUAACGGCUUACCAAGGCAACGAUCCGUAGCCGGCCUGAGAGGGCGGUCGGCCACACUGACACUGACAUACGGGUCAGACUCCUACGGGA
This 335-nucleotide ribosomal RNA is filed under the name uncultured bacterium. RNAcentral describes it as "bacterial SSU rRNA". It matches the Rfam family "Bacterial small subunit ribosomal RNA", at positions 32 to 346 of the family's 1533-position model. The record is from RNAcentral.